This 72-nucleotide transfer RNA is filed under the name Loxodonta africana (African savanna elephant). It matches the Rfam family "tRNA". Rfam says of the family: Transfer RNA (tRNA) molecules are approximately 80 nucleotides in length. Their secondary structure includes four short double-helical elements and three loops (D, anti-codon, and T loops). The record is from Rfam by way of RNAcentral. Lineage: Eukaryota; Metazoa; Chordata; Mammalia; Proboscidea; Elephantidae.
ACAGGUGGUGCAAACAGUUAAUGCACUUGGCUGCCAACCAAAAGGGUGGAGGUUCGAGUCCACCCAGAGGUG